Haliotis rufescens (red abalone) is the source of this 707-nucleotide long non-coding RNA. RefSeq lists it as uncharacterized. Lineage: Eukaryota; Metazoa; Mollusca; Gastropoda; Lepetellida; Haliotidae. The record is from RefSeq and is a predicted model, not a curated record. The transcript has 2 exons.
UUUCAAAGUUGCGACUUCCAUUCCAGACUAUGCUUUAAAGUAUUUUGAAUCGGUCAUACACAGCCACGCCCCAUGAGCGCAUCCGAGUUUACAACUGUCAAGAACAUUGCAAGUUCGCUUUUCUUCAAUAUGAGCAACACAACGUUUGCAUGUGACACUUAAUUUUACGGUGAGUUGUUAGAGGUCAUCAGGGAGGCUUUGGUCAUUUCGAUCAUGACAUUGGUGACUUUAUUGUGGAUAAAGUUCCAAUUCAAGAUUUCAUCAUUCCGACCGCCAACUCGAAUCAACAAGAUGGCGCCUCUCUUCCCGCCCUUGUAAGUGCAACGGAAACUUUGACAAAUUCAGUGCCAAUUUUUGGGAUGAGUGAAUCAGUGUCACAGCUCGAUUUCAUCGUGGAAUCAGAAACAGGCGAAUAUGUCUGUUCACACUGCUAUUGUCAACCAUGAGCGACAUAGCACAGGCAAUAGUAGUUGGGGAAUGGUGUGGCCACCAUGUGGCAGAAAUUCGUUGAUUCGAAAACAGUGCUGCCAAUACUUCUGGACUGAGCUAAAUAGACGAAGUGUAUGGAGAGAUCGUAGACACUCGGACUUGAAGAAAUGGAUAUUAAACAUAGCAGCAGAUUAAGGAUUGGUGUGGACAAAACUUGAAAGUGAUCCCAGUUUGUAUUUUAAAACUUGUGCGCGAAGUAAAAGAGUUUCACUCGGGAA